GGACUACAGGGGUAUCUAAUCCCGUUUGCUCCCCUGGCUUUCGCGCCUCAGCGUCAGAAGAGAUCCAGCACGCCGCUUUCGCCACCGGCGUUCCUUCCGAUAUCUACGCAUUUCACCGCUCCACCGGAAGUUCCGCAUGCCCCUAUCUCCCUCUAGCCGGCCAGUAUCGGGGGCACUUUUCCGGUUGAGCCGAAAGAUUUCACCCCAGACUUGGUCGACCGCCUACGCGCCCUUUAAGCCCAGUGAAUCCGAACAACGUUCGCACGGUUCGUCUUACCGCGGCGGCUGGCAC
RNAcentral lists this ribosomal RNA (292 nucleotides) under uncultured bacterium. RNAcentral's name for it is "partial 16S ribosomal RNA". The record is from RNAcentral. RNAcentral also lists the same sequence under 1 other name.